UGCUCUGCACCCUGCCUGCACCCUGCCUGCUGCUCUGCACCCUGCCUGCCAGCGCCCACGGGCAGAGCAAAGGGCCGAAGGAUUGCCUUCUGCUGUGUACAGGAACGCUUCUGGAGACUAACGGCACUUUGGGACAUUGCUUUGGUCUUGCCUGGACACAGGGUGGCCCAAAAGAGCAAUCCUGUCCGCUUAAAAACGUCCUGCACCGACAAGGUGACAGCUCGUCUGACCACCUUCUAUCUCUAGCUGUAUGAAUCUUAGAAAAACGGUGGGGAGCUGCAGUUUAUCUUUCCCUCCCCUCAUUUAAGGGCAAGAUGCUAAACCAGUUACUGUAGCCUUCAAGCAAGUCUACAGCCGACACGUUCUGUGCGUUUCAGUUGAACCAAGACACAAAAUCACUGCUCAGCGUCAAAAGACCCCGAGCGAGGCCCCAGCAAAUGCAAUCGCCUCGUGAUGAACUGUCAGUCCCGGGCACGGCUGGAAGUACGAAUUUCCGGGAUUCUGAUGGUACUGAACUUUGCCAGUAGAAUGAAUCUUUAAGAUUUUGAUAGUACCGAACUUUUAGCAAUGGGAUAAUAAUGCAUUAUUCUAAGUGCUAACAGAGCACGACACUCUGUGGUUUUAUACUUGCAUGGUCCCCACUAAUGUUACUGGAGUUAAAUGUAAUGGUAAAAAUACCUGUGAGACUGUUUCAAUGCCGUUCCAGUCACACUAUAUGUAACUUCAUCAUUCUCACAUGUGCUGGGUUUUUUAACUUUUAUUUUCCCUUCUGCUCCCAUCAGAGUGUCUGCCAACUGCCCCUGUAAUGGAGAUUUUAUGACGUCUAAAAUCCACAACGCUUGGCUGUCACUAGUCCAUUGUGAAAGGCAUUUCGUCGUGGUUGCCAUGUUGAACUGAUUCACAUUUCGUUUACUGCACGUUCCCAUAUGUCUGUAUAUAUACACGCACUCCAUGUGAGCGUGCCAGCUCACACACACACUGAUGUUUAACCAAUAAAUCGAAGGCUAUGUAUAACAGCGUUAAUUAUCUAGAUCCGAGCAGUGAAAUUGAAUAUAAAUUGGGUGAAAUCACCUUAUUCCUUCUCUCCACGCAAACAGAGAAAAGCUGGACAAAAUGUAAUAUUUCGCACAAUUGCACCUAUGCUGGUACAAGAGCAUGCCUGCUCUAUGGUUAGUUUUCAACGUAGAACUCUGUUAAUUCUUUUUUUCUUAAUGUUUGCUCUUUCUUCUACCAACUAAAUAAGACCAUUAUACCAAUGACAGUCACUGUAUUAAUUUAAUAUUCUGAAUAUUAGGUCUCUGGUAACUCGAUUCAGAACAAAAAUUCUUCUUCCAAGUCAGCAUUUCGAAAGAUGUUUUGAUAUAUGCUGGAAGUCAAAUUGCAGUGUUAUGAAUGAAAGAAAAUCAUAAGAUAUAUUGGAGAAAAUGUUUUAUUUCAUUUUGGGUUAAGUCUUCUUUUUGUUUCCAGUUUUUAAGCCAAAAUACCCGUUUGGAAGAUCGCACUUAAAAAUCAAUUUGUAACGAAAAGCACUGAUUUAAGAUUCCCAUGGGAAAUGAGAAACUCAGCUUGAAUUUUUAUUUCAUUGGGUGAGCACAGGGACUUGUGCACGUAGCAAAGGUGAGCCGGGGAAAGCACGCCAGUAAAUCCUUUAGUCGUUUGGAGGUGAUGUGACAGCCAAACGGUCUUAACGAUUUUCUUCAGUGACUCCACUUGAUCCGUAAGGGAAUAGAUUGGAGGAACCUGAUCUCGGACACAUCUGGCUAUUUAAUGGGCUGCAGCGCAAUGACGGGGCGGCGUCUUCUGCUGGGGCUGGCUCCUCCAGCCAGCCCGGGACGGGGGUGCGGGAGCGCAGGCAGCAGCUCUGGGUGCUUCUCCGCCUCGGGGGGAGCUUGGGGGGAAGGAGUGGACGUGGUCCGGCACCUGGUCAGGCUCUGGGGCUUGGGGCUGGCACCGCGAGUGCCACGUCCAACCUGGCAGAUGCCGUGAGUGCGGAGGCUCUACUGGAGAGAUUGAGCUUUAGAGAGCUCCGCCAGACCGACCUCCUUUGUCAAAAACAUGUAAGGGAAGAGUUAAUAACCAGCGAGUAUAAAAAUUCAGGCACUCUAAGGAUUGUAGAGUCAUUUAAAACUUCACCUCCGAAUUCAUUUGAAAGUGUGGUCAAGUCCUCAAACCUCUUUUUUGAACUCUAAAUGCUUUCUAAAAGUUCACCUGAAGAUACGGCUCUGUCAGGCUCCCAGACUGGACAGGAAUAGUUGGAUGUGGGUAGAAAUAAAUGACUGCCUACAUAACUUAGCUGGAUUUCUCGUGUAGCACUUACAUAACUAAAGCGCCAGGAUAACAUUGCCUAAAUAGGCCUAUUUCUGGAGGUGUUUCAUGAUCAGUACCACAUAAUUUAUUGUGGAAUUAAACUUAUGAAACUCAAAAGAAACAUACUAGUAUUUUCCAGAUUUUUAUUUUUUUUAAAUCUGUAAUGUCCAGUAUAAAACCAUCAUCUUUGUUUAGUAGCGAAUUCUGUAGCACAAAUGUAAAUUUUUACUAAAUUCUAUAAAGGCAAUCAAUAAAUCUGCAAAAAUCUACUAUUCGCAAUUAAAUUUUGUAGAACUGUUCCAUAAGUAGACAAAUUGUGAGCUCAGAAGGGAGAUCAGCCUUUUGACGCAUCAUUUUUUGAUGUGAACGCUCCUCCUAAUAAAAAAAUGACGGCAAACAAAAAUAGAUUUUCUGUCAUGAGUGGAAUUGUUCUUUUUCUUAAUGCACUCCAAAGCUUUCUGUAAAGCAUCAUCUGCUCUUUAAAUACAUAUUAUAGAACAUCAAUGAAAGUCAAUACCUUUGGUCAGUGGGUAAAAUAUUAACACUAAUGAUCUGACCUGUUUCUUAUUUAGCUAUUGAUUCUGUCUCUCUCUCUCAUUUUGUUUUCCUGAAAAAACACAAAGUUAGGGGUUUGGUUUUGGAAUCAGAACGACAGAACAGCCCGGGUUGGACGGGACCUUGAAAGAUCGUCUGGUCCAGCCUUUGGUGGGAAGGAGCCCAGGUGAGAUUACCUGACACCCUGCCCCGUCACGUCUUGAAAGCCUCUGGCUGGGGACCGCACCACGUCCCCGGGAGGUUCUUCCAGCAGCCGAUUGUUCUCACAGUAAAAAAACCCAUUCUUUCUUAAAUUGAGAUGAAAUUUCUCCCAGUGCAACUCGGACCCAUUGCCCCUUGUCUUCUCCACGUGGCCGCAUGGUUUUCUUUUCUGGAAACAAAAUGGCAGGGGAUGAAAGGCUUAAAAGCUGUUUCAGCCGUCUCUUCUUGAUCCGGGUAAUUAUUCUGGCUGUUUUUCUGAGCCAAAAGCCAGUAACAGAGUUUAUUCUGGUCAGCUGUAAACAAAGCGGUGUGCUUCCAUCUAUCAAAUUGCUUUGCUUUUAUCUGGAGGUCAGGAUGAAAACCACUGACGGAGCACCUGAGAUGGGUGGCAUCUAAGGCCAGUGCCCAGUGCUCCCCCGUACCCUGCCGACGACUCCAGCACCCGCCCCGGCUUUCCUCCGCAGACCCCCUUCCCUCCUCGUGGUGCGUUGGUGCGCUUUCUGUUCAAACCGCGUUUCUGUCGAGUGCGUUUAGUUGAAGACAGGGUUGUCUGGCUGUAGCUUUAUGUCUGCGUCUGCUGCUGCGCUGAGGCUGCGUGGCCGGGGAACGCGGCUCCCGCACGCGGGGGUGGCUGGAUGCGCUCUCGUGGUCCCGCGCUGAGACUCGUCGCCGCUCCUCUUGCCUCGGCGUUAGGAAACCUCCCGCGCACCCAUCCCGUGGGACGGGGCUCGAGGCGGCGGGUGGGAGCGUUGCAGGAGCCUGAAGGUACCGGGUGUGGGGAGCAGCACCGCGCCGUGCCAACCCUCGGCCAUGGCGGGCACUGCCCCGCCACCGCUGCCGCGCUCCUGCUCCGCCCUCGGAGGGGUUUGUUCGGUGGUUGUUCCUGGUCUGGUGGGUGAAUUAAAUUAUUCUUCGCGUGGCUUAUGUGAAUCAAUCUGUUCGCUGUGGCGCUGGAAAGGUAGGGGCUUCUACUUACUUUAUUUACAUUGAGGAUGCUUUUAGUUGGUUUUUUUUUAAUUAAUUUUAAUUAAGACUGAAAAUAGCCCUUCAAAGAUAUAACUAAGAUUGGAUGGAAAAAUUCAUUUUUGUAUGAGUCUGAACUGCCUGUUUCAGUAAUUUUGAUGAUGAAAAAUUGAGCUGGAGAUUGAAGAUAUUAAAUAAACAAUCGAGUACUUUAAGUUAUAUUUAGUGCCGUUGGGAGUAAAUUAAAUAAGUGGCUGGUACAGGAGCGAGAGGAAGAGGAGCAACGCUGCACCUCCAGUCCUGCUUUCUGAAGGCUGACCUGUACGUUGCAACAUGAAAUGACUUAACCCGACGCGCUGUUCGAAAUGGUUCUGAAUUAUAAUCGGUGCUGCUCCGGGAAGCCGCAUUCCUGCGGUAAUAAGCCGUUACCUGUUGCCCUCAAUUAUUCUUAGGUUACCGAGUACAGUUCAACAGUCUGCAAACAUAGUGAGCUGCGAAGCGGGGGAAGCCCAGAGCCCACGAAGGGCAGAGAGAAGUUGGGAAGGUUUAAAGGGGCUGAGCGGCACCACGGGCAGCAUGUCGCUGGUCACCGGUGCUGCCGCUGCCCCAGGACACGGAGGACGUUCUCGCUGCGGAAACGGGGAUGGCAGUCCUCUCGGAUGCUCAUAGGAACAGAUCUGCAGAGGAAUGCCCUCUGUGCCUCGGGGGAGGCGCGUGAGCCUUCUGAAGGCAGUGCUGGGAAAAACAGACUUGUAAACAUCUGACAAAAAUGUGCCUUUCUAAUAAAUAUUGAAAUGCACCCUUCCCAGAAUUUGGGAGUAUUAGUUCUGGCGCUGGUUCAAGCGUGUCUCUCAUCGAGUGAUUGAUUUCUUUAUUUCUGUUCUCUCCUGCCAGCCCCUGGGAACGUGAUUGAGUGAAAUCCGGAGAACCUUAAAAGUGCAGGGAAUUUAUCGGGGAACCGAACGAGGGGACUUGGGUGGAGGCAGGGCAGGGUCUCAAGCUGUGCACUUGCCCAAGUCCUGCAGAGCACAAAGUACUCUCGAAAGUCUAAUUUCAUCUGCUCAUUUGAAAGAGGGUGGGCUGGGGAGGUCGGGGUAGGAGGGAUGGGAUUGUUGACCCAAGGGGGAUUGAUGCAGGGCUGUCUCCGUGCUGCGAACCAUCAGUGCUUGGUGGUUGUCAUCAGCUGGGUCACCAUUGGCAUCAGUCGGUUCCUGCUGCGGAACUUCAGAAACCCAUUUUCUGUUUUUAUGAGAGAGGGUGGUGCAGAGUGAGUCUGCUGUGUCUGGCAGGGUCGUUUCCUAUCCUUAAACUGGAUUAUUGUACAUAAGCGUGUGUGUUUCUUGUUCAUUCUUUCCUUCUUAGAGCAUCGUGCUCAGGGGGCCAGCAGAACGUGCUCUCUGCUCAGCGCUGGGGCAGAAAGGAUGGAGCUCUGAGGCUGAGGAUAAACAAGGAUCAAGAUGUGCAGGUGACUCGUUACCGGUCGAUUGCCAUCACCACUUUGUUUCUGUAUUUCAGUUACGGAAUUUAAAAUCUAAACCGCUCUUGUAAUAAGCACAAUAACACAAUAGAAGGCAGCGAGGCCAAGUGACAAUAGGCAGUAUUUCUUCUCUCGUGCCAAGAAUCCGAAUGUGAAAAGCAGGUGCCGCAGCAGCGGCUGUGCAAGGAGGACGAGUCGCAGUUGGCAAAGCACAAAAUUCCUCAGAAGCAGGAAAGAAUCACAAGCAUCCCAAAUGCCACCGGGCAAAGCUGGAAAAGCACUGUUUUCUGUCAGAUCAAGACAAUGUUACCAGCGUUUUUCAAGUAACUCACAUGUUGUAUUUUUGUUCAUCCUCGUUUCUGGCAGAAAAGGACAGGCUGCCACCCAGCACUAUCUGCUCUGGCGCAGGGAGCGUUAUCUUGCUUUGCAGCCUGCACGGCAUUUUCCUGGAGCAGAUAAAUUAAAGAGGAUGAUGGCUGUCGGCUGACGUUGCGUCCAGAGCCGUAACUGACUGCUGGGAAGGACAGAAAUAACUGAACGACGAUGCCUCGGGUCCCAGCGGCCCGCCUGUACCUGUACCCGUCCCCAGGAGCUCUCUGCCGUCCUGGGCUUUCUGCAGAGGCGUGGAAGCAAGUUCAGCCAGACGUCACUGAGAAGCGGUCCAGCGAUAUCCUGUGGACAGAAGGGGUAAGGGCAAGGUUACUGCCUGGGGGGGCUGGACUCUUUCCCAUUUGCUGUCGAGGUCUUUAUGGGUAUUUGAGGAACGUGGCAGGUUUUCCAUGUGGGCAUCCACCGAUCGCCGAUUUGAGACACUUCUCUGAAGGCAUGGUCCUGCUCCCGUUGCAAUCAGAUUAGUUCCUGGCAACCCGCGCGAGCCACUGACGGCUGGAGAGAUUCAUGCAAGUUUAAUGAAGCACGAGACUCAGCAGCCAAAAGGAGCCGCUGUGAAGUCUCAGCUGACCUCUCCAGAGCACAGGGACAAAAUACUUCCCAGCCAAACCCGCCGUGUAUCGAAUGAUGUGCUGCAGAACUACAAGGGCUGAUCGGAGGUGAUCUGCCGUCCUGGAGCACCAGAUCUGACAGUGAUCACCAAGGAAACUAAAAAUCGCUGGUGGCUCUCCUCAUCUCCAGCAAAGCUGAGUUCGAUGCUGCUGGUUGGGGACAGCGUGCUUUGCUUGGGCCAAGGACAAGAAGCAUCAAGUGGUUCCCAGGUAAUGGCUCUCUUGUCUGUCUCUUGGGUUUAAAGCCAUCUCAAGCCCCCGGUGUGAUCUUUGACAACUGUUGUUGGAAGGUGAGCUCUACCACAACUAACCUGGGCCUGAAGGAGGCAGACCAGGACCCCCAGUGUCUUUUCCUGGCCCAGAGACAGGCACAGGUACAGCCAGUAUCCAGCAAACGGGACUCCGGUCCGGCUGGUAUCUUCGGGGGCUGCCACAGCAAAUGUGCACAGAAGUCGAUAGCUGAACUCACUUGAUUCAUUUGCACUCCUGCAUGCUAAGUCUGAGCCCACAGAGGUAUGGCUGCGUGUCCUCUGUUUCGGUAAACAGCUGGAGCAAGGGGGACACCCUAAAUCUGAGAUGUGCCCGCUACGAUAAGAGCUCAGUGAAUUAAAGCAAACCCUAGUUCCAUCAAAAUCAAUAGGAAAACUGAAAGAAAGCUCACAAACCAGGAUUUGACCCCAAAUUCGGUAAGGAAGCAACAAAGAGUGAAGAAACUCUGCCUUAGCAGACCCCGGUUACUGCAGCCACGGAGCCCAACUCUGUAGCAAGCUCAGACCCAUGUGUGCAGGGCCAGAUCCUUCCCAUCACGUUCUCCUGUUGGUUCAGAUUCAAGGACCUGACAUAAAAGAGAAACCCAGUUUCCACGUUGCCCUCUCAAACCCGUUUUAUUUCCUGUCUCCUUAACCCAGAAUUUGUGGCGGUGUCAGCUGCUGCUGUUGUGACAGAUGCUGAAAGAGGCUGGCAAUAUUUUUGGUGCUAAAAACAGUACUUCUUUGUCGACAAACUGUUAAAAAAAAAGAUUUACUGUUAUGAGGCUCUUUCCCCUCAGGGUCAUUUUCUAGAGGGAAUAACUUUGGCUGUGUCAGUGCAGGACGUGUGGGGGCACAGCACCAGGGCACGCGCAGACACCAGGGCCCUCGGGGAAGGACAGCGUCCUGCGUGCUCGCACAAGUAAUUCGCAGUCGCGGCUUGUCCAGAUAUGAAUAUCUAUUCACGCCGAGUUCCUUUUCAGUUUUCCUGCACUAAUGAGGUUCUGCUUUAGGUCUGGUUCCCACUGAGAGGCAAAGCAGUGGCUGCAAGCAGGUCCCGGGGAGGCAGAGCAGGAGGGAGCACCGACGGGCACGGGUGGGAGCACAGCCCAGCUCCUCCUCCUCCAGCCCAGCAAGGUGGGGCAGCUGGAAAUGCCUUCUCCAUCAGCCCCGGUGGCUGCCAGCGCUCUGGAGAGACUCGAACAGGAUGGGCUGUAGGCUUUGUUCAGGGCCACUCGUGUCCCUGGGCUCGGUACCCAGCCUCAGGCCAGAGGAGGGAUGCGGGGAUGCGCCGCUGCUCGGUGCGCAGGGGGACGGGCAUGGGCUGAUGCUGCAGGCUUCCUGACAGCCCCGGUCCCGGGCGAGCGCUCUGGUCUGCUGAGGGGUCAAACGCAAAGUAAUUCUUCUGAAGUUCAAAGGAUCUUGAGCCUAUUUACGUGCUUAAAUUAUUUUCCGCAUUGGUGUGUCACGAAUGGUUUCGUUAACUUCCUUCCAGCUGAAAGACAGCAGCCCCGCUCCAGGACUCAUUUGUCCCACACAGCUUUGCUGAUGACUUCGUACCGCAGCGGAAAGCGCCUGUGUCCCCCAGCCUGUCUCUGCCUGAGGUCUCCUCGUUUGUCUUCCACGGAAGCAAAGGGUGAUGUUUCCCACUGGUCUGGUUGAUGUGCUCAUGACGAACCGCGUGUGUUUAAUGCGCGGCCAGAGCAAACUUCUGAGUGCCACUUUAUGGACAUCACGAUGAUGACCUAUUCCCUGCCCCCCCCUCCAAGCGGUCUCUUUUUUCUCUUUUUAGUAUGUCACUUGGAGAGCUUGUGCUGCACAGUUCGUGCUUUUCUUGCUUUGGGAAUUAAUAAUGACAGUUGUCAAUCCAGGACAUUUCGCCAAUGUUGAAUGCAAUGGCUUUUUUUCCUCAAAGACACUUUGGGGAUUUCAAAUGAUCUUUUUGAGUGCUGAAGGAAAUCAUGUCGCUAUGCAGCUCCAUUAAAGGCUUUACAAAUAUUCUUCUACAAUAAGUGUCUCCUGCCUGUACUACAUUCCUGAUUUUUUUCUAUUGACAGGAAUCAAUAGCAGCAUAUAUGGGGAAACAGAUAAAUAUAUAUCUAGCUAACGAGAGGUAAAUGGCCCUUCAGAGCAAGUUGGCCUCACAAAUUUCCACUUGUCUCUGCAUUUUCUUAUUUUUUUGAUAAAUAUUCAGCUACGCAUGUUAUCCCGCUCACCUUGAAUGUAUCUAAACUCUUCAACAUGUUUUCAGCAUUUUGCAAUGUCAGAUGUUGCUUCCAGCUGUAAGAGAAAUUAUCUUUUAUAGUUCUUUAAAGUAAAAGCAAUUUGGAGCAUUUACAUCUGCAGAAACAGUAGCUCCUUGUGGAGUCCAACACCCAAGAGGUGCUUGUUUUUAUACGCUAUUGGACUCUAUCAAAGGCAGCAUUGUAGAGCAGUUAAUGAUUGCCUUUUCAUGUCAGUUUUCAAAUUCUUGUGUAGUGUCUUUAUUAUUCAUACCAAUCUGUCUUUUAGAUCAUCUUCCAUAGACACUCCAGAUUAAAUUUUCUUCAUUAUCAUUAUAGAACUAGAUGAAUAAGUGGCACAUCUGUUCAUGAAGUGGUUUAUUAUCUGUUCUGAUGAGGUUUUGGAUGAAUAGUGGAAUGACUUAAAUAUGGAGCACAGAAAUGCAUACAGGUUUAUGCAUAAUCUUAAAUUCAUAACCAGUAGUGCUAACUUGAGGAAUCUGAUUUUAUACAGAAGAGGCAAUUAUUAAUUAAUGAUCUGGGCCAAUUUAUCAUGAGGGCCAACUUAAUGAGGGACGAGACAGAAAACAAACCUGCAUGUGAAAUAGCACUAAUGAAGACCCACGCAUUGUUUAACCGGUUCUCGUUCCGUCACUGCAAAGGAUAACUCUAUAAAUAUUUUAUAAACACACCAUUCUAGCCAUGUACAGCCAAAUUGCACCAAUAAAUCUAUUUAUCUA
Molecule: RNA transcript, 9714 nt
Organism: Grus americana (Whooping crane)
Lineage: Eukaryota; Metazoa; Chordata; Aves; Gruiformes; Gruidae
Exons: 8
Source: RefSeq, a predicted model, not a curated record